UUCGCCGGAGGUCAACGCCCGACAGCGCGAUGCGCCCUCGGGCGUCGUCGGC
Molecule: small RNA, 52 nt
Filed under: Enterovirga rhinocerotis
Lineage: Bacteria; Pseudomonadati; Pseudomonadota; Alphaproteobacteria; Hyphomicrobiales; Methylobacteriaceae
Description: ffh sRNA
Rfam family: ffh sRNA
Source: Rfam by way of RNAcentral